RNAcentral lists this ribosomal RNA (207 nucleotides) under uncultured bacterium. RNAcentral's name for it is "partial 16S ribosomal RNA". It matches the Rfam family "Bacterial small subunit ribosomal RNA", at positions 568 to 774 of the family's 1533-position model. The record is from RNAcentral.
UGCGCAGGCGGUCCGUUGUGUCUGCGGUGAAAUCCCCGGGCUUAACCUGGGAAUGGCCGUGGAAACUGGCGGGCUUGAGUGUGGCAGAGGGGGGUGGAAUUCCGCGUGUAGCAGUGAAAUGCGUAGAGAUGCGGAGGAACACCGAUGGCGAAGGCAACCCCCUGGGCUGACACUGACGCUCAGGCACGAAAGCGUGGGGAGCAAACA